UUUAGAUGUCUGUAAUUUAUGUAAAGGUUUUGUAUUAUGACAUCCAACAGCACAUAGCAGCAUGGUUGGAAGUAUGACAGGAGAACAUAUGUCCAGGUGUAAGUACCAAAUGGGGAAGGAAGUAAGGUAGGCAACAAAAUGUAUCAUUCUGCUAAAGAGAAGGGAUGAUCAUUUUUAAGCUAUUUAGCAUUCCAAACCUGCUUGGAGAUAUUGGUUGAAAUUCAGUUGUGUCACUGUUAGUUGGGGGAAUAUUGGUUGCUGUGAUAUAUAAAAUUACGAGUUUAAGGUCUCAAACAUUUUCAUUUAUUGUGGAACAGACAGAUCCAAGUAAUAUUAUUUCUCAUUUAGUCUAUGGGUUGGUAACAUAUGUGAGGGAUAUGCUUCUGGG
This is a non-coding RNA of Pelobates cultripes (western spadefoot toad), 388 nucleotides long. The record is from the annotation of a GenBank genome assembly. Lineage: Eukaryota; Metazoa; Chordata; Amphibia; Anura; Pelobatidae.